CGAACGGGUGGGUAAUGCGUGACCAACCUGCCCCAUGCUCCAGAAUAGCUCUUGGAAACGGGUGGUAAUGCUGGAUGCUCCAACUUGACGCAUGUCUUGUUGGGAAAGUGUUUAGUGGCAUGGGAUGGGGUCGCGUCCUAUCAGCUUGUAGGCGGGGUAAUUGCCCACCUAGGCUUCGACGGGUAGCCGGCCUGAGAGGGCGGACGGCCACAUUGGGACUGAGAUACGGCCCAGACUCCUACGGGAGGCAGCAGCA
RNAcentral lists this ribosomal RNA (256 nucleotides) under uncultured Gardnerella sp. Its description in RNAcentral is "partial 16S ribosomal RNA". It matches the Rfam family "Bacterial small subunit ribosomal RNA", at positions 99 to 355 of the family's 1533-position model. Lineage: Bacteria; Bacillati; Actinomycetota; Actinomycetes; Bifidobacteriales; Bifidobacteriaceae. The record is from RNAcentral.